This 505-nucleotide ribosomal RNA is filed under the name Brochothrix sp. AP9F7. RNAcentral describes it as "bacterial SSU rRNA". It matches the Rfam family "Bacterial small subunit ribosomal RNA", at positions 355 to 851 of the family's 1533-position model. Lineage: Bacteria; Bacillati; Bacillota; Bacilli; Caryophanales; Listeriaceae. The record is from RNAcentral.
UAGGGAAUCUUCGGCAAUGGACGAAAGUCUGACCGAGCAACGCCGCGUGAGCGAAGAAGGCCUUCGGGUCGUAAAGCUCUGUUGUUAGAGAAGAACAUGGGUGAGAGUAACUGUUCACCCCUUGACGGUAUCUAACCAGAAAGCCACGGCUAACUACGUGCCAGCAGCCGCGGUAAUACGUAGGUGGCAAGCGUUGUCCGGAAUUAUUGGGCGUAAAGCGCGCGCAGGCGGUCUCUUAAGUCUGAUGUGAAAGCCCCCGGCUCAACCGGGGAGGGUCAUUGGAAACUGGGAGACUUGAGGACAGAAGAGGAGAGUGGAAUUCCAAGUGUAGCGGUGAAAUGCGUAGAUAUUUGGAGGAACACCAGUGGCGAAGGCGGCUCUCUGGUCUGUUACUGACGCUGAGGCGCGAAAGCGUGGGGAGCAAACAGGAUUAGAUACCCUGGUAGUCCACGCCGUAAACGAUGAGUGCUAAGUGUUAGGGGGUUUCCGCCCCUUAGUGCUGCAG